RNAcentral lists this ribosomal RNA (903 nucleotides) under Salmonella enterica subsp. enterica serovar Virchow. RNAcentral describes it as "partial 23S ribosomal RNA". It matches the Rfam family "Bacterial large subunit ribosomal RNA", at positions 582 to 1490 of the family's 2925-position model. The record is from RNAcentral. Lineage: Bacteria; Pseudomonadati; Pseudomonadota; Gammaproteobacteria; Enterobacterales; Enterobacteriaceae.
CCCUUCGGGGUGUGACUGCGUACCUUUUGUAUAAUGGGUCAGCGACUUAUAUUCUGUAGCAAGGUUAACCGUAUAGGGGAGCCGUAGGGAAACCGAGUCUUAACCGGGCGUUAAGUUGCAGGGUAUAGACCCGAAACCCGGUGAUCUAGCCAUGGGCAGGUUGAAGGUUGGGUAACACUAACUGGAGGACCGAACCGACUAAUGUUGAAAAAUUAGCGGAUGACCUGUGGCUGGGGGUGAAAGGCCAAUCAAACCGGGAGAUAGCUGGUUCUCCCCGAAAGCUAUUUAGGUAGCGCCUCGUGAAUUCAUCUCCGGGGGUAGAGCACUGUUUCGGCUAGGGGGCCAUCCCGGCUUACCAACCCGAUGCAAACUGCGAAUACCGGAGAAUGUUAUCACGGGAGACACACGGCGGGUGCUAACGUCCGUCGUGAAGAGGGAAACAACCCAGACCGCCAGCUAAGGUCCCAAAGUCAUGGUUAAGUGGGAAACGAUGUGGGAAGGCCCAGACAGCCAGGAUGUUGGCUUAGAAGCAGCCAUCAUUUAAAGAAAGCGUAAUAGCUCACUGGUCGAGUCGGCCUGCGCGGAAGAUGUAACGGGGCUAAACCAUGCACCGAAGCUGCGGCAGCGACACUGUGUGUUGUUGGGUAGGGGAGCGUUCUGUAAGCCUGUGAAGGUGGCCUGUGAGGGUUGCUGGAGGUAUCAGAAGUGCGAAUGCUGACAUAAGUAACGAUAAAGCGGGUGAAAAGCCCGCUCGCCGGAAGACCAAGGGUUCCUGUCCAACGUUAAUCGGGGCAGGGUGAGUCGACCCCUAAGGCGAGGCCGAAAGGCGUAGUCGAUGGGAAACGGGUUAAUAUUCCCGUACUUGGUGUUACUGCGAAGGGGGGACGGAGAAGGCUAUGUUGG